GUUAGAUUAACUUAAUUGGAAGAGUGUGUAUCUUGUAAGUACAAAGUUAAGAGUUCAAGUCUCUUAUCUAACA
Pneumocystis murina is the source of this 73-nucleotide non-coding RNA. The record is from Rfam. NCBI's taxonomy places the organism in Eukaryota, Fungi, Ascomycota, Pneumocystomycetes, Pneumocystales, Pneumocystaceae.